Molecule: ribosomal RNA, 2658 nt
Filed under: Escherichia coli
Lineage: Bacteria; Pseudomonadati; Pseudomonadota; Gammaproteobacteria; Enterobacterales; Enterobacteriaceae
Description: bacterial LSU rRNA
Rfam family: Bacterial large subunit ribosomal RNA
Source: RNAcentral
AGCCCAGAGCCUGAAUCAGUGUGUGUGUUAGUGGAAGCGUCUGGAAAGGCGCGCGAUACAGGGUGACAGCCCCGUACACAAAAAUGCACAUGCUGUGAGCUCGAUGAGUAGGGCGGGACACGUGGUAUCCUGUCUGAAUAUGGGGGGACCAUCCUCCAAGGCUAAAUACUCCUGACUGACCGAUAGUGAACCAGUACCGUGAGGGAAAGGCGAAAAGAACCCCGGCGAGGGGAGUGAAAAAGAACCUGAAACCGUGUACGUACAAGCAGUGGGAGCACGCUUAGGCGUGUGACUGCGUACCUUUUGUAUAAUGGGUCAGCGACUUAUAUUCUGUAGCAAGGUUAACCGAAUAGGGGAGCCGAAGGGAAACCGAGUCUUAACUGGGCGUUAAGUUGCAGGGUAUAGACCCGAAACCCGGUGAUCUAGCCAUGGGCAGGUUGAAGGUUGGGUAACACUAACUGGAGGACCGAACCGACUAAUGUUGAAAAAUUAGCGGAUGACUUGUGGCUGGGGGUGAAAGGCCAAUCAAACCGGGAGAUAGCUGGUUCUCCCCGAAAGCUAUUUAGGUAGCGCCUCGUGAAUUCAUCUCCGGGGGUAGAGCACUGUUUCGGCAAGGGGGUCAUCCCGACUUACCAACCCGAUGCAAACUGCGAAUACCGGAGAAUGUUAUCACGGGAGACACACGGCGGGUGCUAACGUCCGUCGUGAAGAGGGAAACAACCCAGACCGCCAGCUAAGGUCCCAAAGUCAUGGUUAAGUGGGAAACGAUGUGGGAAGGCCCAGACAGCCAGGAUGUUGGCUUAGAAGCAGCCAUCAUUUAAAGAAAGCGUAAUAGCUCACUGGUCGAGUCGGCCUGCGCGGAAGAUGUAACGGGGCUAAACCAUGCACCGAAGCUGCGGCAGCGACGCUUAUGCGUUGUUGGGUAGGGGAGCGUUCUGUAAGCCUGUGAAGGUGUACUGUGAGGUAUGCUGGAGGUAUCAGAAGUGCGAAUGCUGACAUAAGUAACGAUAAAGCGGGUGAAAAGCCCGCUCGCCGGAAGACCAAGGGUUCCUGUCCAACGUUAAUCGGGGCAGGGUGAGUCGACCCCUAAGGCGAGGCCGAAAGGCGUAGUCGAUGGGAAACAGGUUAAUAUUCCUGUACUUGGUGUUACUGCGAAGGGGGGACGGAGAAGGCUAUGUUGGCCGGGCGACGGUUGUCCCGGUUUAAGCGUGUAGGCUGGUUUUCCAGGCAAAUCCGGAAAAUCAAGGCUGAGGCGUGAUGACGAGGCACUACGGUGCUGAAGCAACAAAUGCCCUGCUUCCAGGAAAAGCCUCUAAGCAUCAGGUAACAUCAAAUCGUACCCCAAACCGACACAGGUGGUCAGGUAGAGAAUACCAAGGCGCUUGAGAGAACUCGGGUGAAGGAACUAGGCAAAAUGGUGCCGUAACUUCGGGAGAAGGCACGCUGAUAUGUAGGUGAAGUCCCUCGCGGAUGGAGCUGAAAUCAGUCGAAGAUACCAGCUGGCUGCAACUGUUUAUUAAAAACACAGCACUGUGCAAACACGAAAGUGGACGUAUACGGUGUGACGCCUGCCCGGUGCCGGAAGGUUAAUUGAUGGGGUUAGCGCAAGCGAAGCUCUUGAUCGAAGCCCCGGUAAACGGCGGCCGUAACUAUAACGGUCCUAAGGUAGCGAAAUUCCUUGUCGGGUAAGUUCCGACCUGCACGAAUGGCGUAAUGAUGGCCAGGCUGUCUCCACCCGAGACUCAGUGAAAUUGAACUCGCUGUGAAGAUGCAGUGUACCCGCGGCAAGACGGAAAGACCCCGUGAACCUUUACUAUAGCUUGACACUGAACAUUGAGCCUUGAUGUGUAGGAUAGGUGGGAGGCUUUGAAGUGUGGACGCCAGUCUGCAUGGAGCCGACCUUGAAAUACCACCCUUUAAUGUUUGAUGUUCUAACGUUGACCCGUAAUCCGGGUUGCGGACAGUGUCUGGUGGGUAGUUUGACUGGGGCGGUCUCCUCCUAAAGAGUAACGGAGGAGCACGAAGGUUGGCUAAUCCUGGUCGGACAUCAGGAGGUUAGUGCAAUGGCAUAAGCCAGCUUGACUGCGAGCGUGACGGCGCGAGCAGGUGCGAAAGCAGGUCAUAGUGAUCCGGUGGUUCUGAAUGGAAGGGCCAUCGCUCAACGGAUAAAAGGUACUCCGGGGAUAACAGGCUGAUACCGCCCAAGAGUUCAUAUCGACGGCGGUGUUUGGCACCUCGAUGUCGGCUCAUCACAUCCUGGGGCUGAAGUAGGUCCCAAGGGUAUGGCUGUUCGCCAUUUAAAGUGGUACGCGAGCUGGGUUUAGAACGUCGUGAGACAGUUCGGUCCCUAUCUGCCGUGGGCGCUGGAGAACUGAGGGGGGCUGCUCCUAGUACGAGAGGACCGGAGUGGACGCAUCACUGGUGUUCGGGUUGUCAUGCCAAUGGCACUGCCCGGUAGCUAAAUGCGGAAGAGAUAAGUGCUGAAAGCAUCUAAGCACGAAACUUGCCCCGAGAUGAGUUCUCCCUGACUCCUUGAGAGUCCUGAAGGAACGUUGAAGACGACGACGUUGAUAGGCCGGGUGUGUAAGCGCAGCGAUGCGUUGAGCUAACCGGUACUAAUGAACCGUGAGGCUUAACCUUAAAACGCCGAAGGUGUUA